GCAUCGCGCUUCUCUUUUAUUUUUCAUUGUCAGCUGUAACGAUAAGUAUCGAAUAUUUGUAGAUGCGGGUAAGAGGUUAUUGGAUACCCCCAAUUUUUCCAAAUACGGACUUAGAGUGGCACACGCCAUUAAGUCGGGCGAGGUGCCGUAAUGUCUAUUUAUUACCCACCCACUUGACGAUCCCAGUACCGGGUUGUGUGGAAAGAUGAGCUAUUUCACCUGCCACUUGAUCACAUAAUAAACAGCCUCACAAACAGUGUCAGGCGGCACCAUCAGUCAACAGAUACUUAUCUGCCACCACAUGGCCCGCCUACAGGUUCUGCAGCACGGGUAAGUCCUCAGCUACGACAAAGCUUUUGUCGGUAGAGAGAAUACUUGAAAGCUUUCUUUGUGGACUGCAGCUGUGCCUUACCACUAGAUAUGCGGAUGAGAAGCGGACAUUCUAUCUACGACGUAACUUUAUCCGACAGAGAGGAAAUGAACAGACCGACUUCAUUUCCUGUUCAUUCAUUCGCACAAUUUACAAGUGAUCGCCACAGACCGAUGACCCUCGGAUGGAACCAACUUGUAGUUUUGCACGAUGGUCGUCUCCGGUGACAACUCCUUUUAGAAAACUUCUAAACUCGAAUAUCAACAAUAAUUAAAGGAGAGAACAAUCGCACGUGAGCACAUCACGUGGGAUGUUACCCGACAUGCACAGCGCCGACACCACAACACAAGACGUCAGUUAGGAAGAGAAGGGGAGUACCGCCGGCGGAUGUUGUGCCUAUCAGGACAGUGAAUGGUGUUUACCAUUUAGGGAUGCAAUAAUUUUUCAUCUAAAAUAAUAUUAAAUAUUUUAAGUUUCCAAAGAACGAAAUAGCCAAGUACGAUUAAAUGCUUUCCUGUCGAAAGUGAAGAGGAUAUAAACUUUCAUCAAAUGAAAAUAUUUAUUAAAUCUUUCGAGAAAAACAAUUUAAUCAAAAGUUUCAAGAUUUAAAACCAUAAACAUUAAACUGAGAAUAAAUAAUCAAUAGAAAUGCUAGAAUACCAAAUCAUAGUUUCUAAAAAGAACUAUAGAAGUGUAUAUCCUGGAAAAGCUCAGUUAUGUGUUUUUCAUUCUCUUGAUAAUCAGGUAAAUGGUUUUAUUCCAGUGAUAUAAUAAUUGUUUUUCUUUUAUUAUGAAAAUAUUGCAUAUUUUACAAUAUGUAUUUGAUAUUGUAUUUAUAACAAAAUUUGUUAAUAAAUUAGUAAUUCUAUAAAUAUGCCAUAAUUCAAAGAUU
Centruroides sculpturatus (bark scorpion) is the source of this 1262-nucleotide long non-coding RNA. RefSeq lists it as uncharacterized. Lineage: Eukaryota; Metazoa; Arthropoda; Arachnida; Scorpiones; Buthidae. The transcript has 4 exons. The record is from RefSeq and is a predicted model, not a curated record.